GGUGCGCUGUAAUAGGAAGUUCCCCUCCAAUACUUUUAGGAAACAAUCCUGUCCGACCUGCACCAAAUGAACGCCGACCUCAUAAUCCUAAUCAUGGGAAAGCUUCUCAGAGAGUGAGGAGGAGCUGCAUCAGCUGUCAUGGAUGCACAAACAGGAACUGAAGGAUUCACUGGUUGAUAUGUACAAAGCUAAUCCUAAAGUCAAUGAAGAACUGAAACAAAGGCUGCCGUCCCCUGUAAAUCACCAUUGUUCAGAG
This is a long non-coding RNA of Sinocyclocheilus anshuiensis, 256 nucleotides long. RefSeq lists it as uncharacterized. NCBI's taxonomy places the organism in Eukaryota, Metazoa, Chordata, Actinopteri, Cypriniformes, Cyprinidae. The record is from RefSeq and is a predicted model, not a curated record. The transcript has 3 exons.